RNAcentral lists this ribosomal RNA (70 nucleotides) under Streptomyces sp. PsTaAH-130. RNAcentral describes it as "partial 23S ribosomal RNA". Lineage: Bacteria; Bacillati; Actinomycetota; Actinomycetes; Kitasatosporales; Streptomycetaceae. The record is from RNAcentral.
UGAUAGGCCGGAUCUGGAAGCCAGGUAACUGGUGGAGGUGACCGGUACUAAUAGGCCGAGGGCUUGUCCU